AUACGGAGGGUGCAAGCGUUAAUCGGAAUUACUGGGCGUAAAGCGCGCGUAGGCGGUUUGAUAAGUCGGAUGUGAAAUCCCCGGGCUCAACCUGGGAAUUGCAUUCGAUACUGUCAGGCUAGAGUGUGGUAGAGGGAAGUGGAAUUUCCGGUGUAGCGGUGAAAUGCGUGGAUAUCGGAAGGAACACCAGUGGCGAAGGCGGCUUCCUGGACCAACACUGACGCUGAGGUGCGAAAGCGUGGGGAGCAAACAGGAUUAGAAACCCUAGUAGUCC
Molecule: ribosomal RNA, 274 nt
Filed under: uncultured bacterium
Lineage: Bacteria
Description: partial 16S ribosomal RNA
Rfam family: Bacterial small subunit ribosomal RNA
Source: RNAcentral